UGGGGGAAUCUUGGACAAUGGGCGCAAGCCUGAUCCAGCCAUGCCGCGUGAGCGAUGAAGGCCUUAGGGUUGUAAAGCUCUUUCACCGGUGAAGAUAAUGACGGUAGCAGGUAAAGAAACCCCGGCUAACUCCGUGCCAGCAGCCGCGGUAAUACGGAGGGGGUUAGCGUUGUUCGGAAUUACUGGGCGUAAAGCGCACGUAGGCGGACCAGAAAGUUGGGGGGUGAAAUCCCGGGGGCUCAACCCCGGAACUGCCUCCAAAACUAUUGGUCUAGAGUUCGAGAGAGGUGAGUGGAAUUCCAAGUGUAGAGGUGAAAUUCGUAGAUAUUUGGAGGAACACCAGUGGCGAAGGCGGCUCACUGGCUCGAUACUGACGCUGAGGUGCGAAAAGUGUGGGGAGCAAAACAGGAUUAGAUACCCUGGUAGUCCACACCGUAAAACGAUGAAUGCCAGUCGUCGGGUAGCAUGCUAUUCGGUGACACACCUAACGGAUUAAGCAUUCC
This 503-nucleotide ribosomal RNA is filed under the name uncultured bacterium. RNAcentral describes it as "bacterial SSU rRNA". It matches the Rfam family "Bacterial small subunit ribosomal RNA", at positions 354 to 870 of the family's 1533-position model. The record is from RNAcentral.